GCUCUGUUCCUGCUUCGGCAGGACUCUUCUCCACUCUCCAGUGAGCUUCAUCUCUGUCAUUGUCCUCUUGAUCCCGGGGCACAUUUUCAAGUUUAUCUCUCAAUGGCUCUGCCUUAAUUUUCUUCAGUGUGGAUUCUGCUCAUCGAUGUGUCCUGCAGGAAUUUUCAAUCUGAAGUCGAGACCCGCAUGCACACAACUCAUCCACGGCUCAGAAUUGCCCGAGACUUUUCAGCAACCAUAUGCAAGGGUAGCGCGUGAGAAACUAGCAAGGACGUGGACGCCUGCCUCAUCGGAACAUGGCGCUUCACUGUAAAGAACCUACUGUGUUUGCGCGCCAUCGCAGAUGGAGAAACCCACAUGGCGGUUUGUCUAAGUGUUCUGCUGCCUCAUGUCUCCCUGUACCUCCAG
Molecule: long non-coding RNA, 408 nt
Filed under: Mustela putorius furo (domestic ferret)
Lineage: Eukaryota; Metazoa; Chordata; Mammalia; Carnivora; Mustelidae
Description: lncRNA (ENSMPUG00000029599.1)
Source: RNAcentral